UAAAGCAAGAAAGGGCGUAUGGGGAAUGCCUAGGCACACUCCGGCGAAGAAGGACGCAGCAAACAGCGAAAUGCGACGGUGAGCGGUAAGCACGUGAAGAGCCGUCGAUAUCCGAAUGGGGGAACCCACACGGAGUCAUAUCCGUGUAUCACAUGUCGAAUACAUAGACAUGAUGAGGCGAGACGCAGGGAACUGAAACAUCUAAGUACCUGCAGGAAGAGAAAAUAAGAAUGAUUUUCUGAGUAGCGGCGAGCGAAAGGGAAAGAGCCCAAACCGAUUUUAGGAUCGGGGUAGUAGGAUCAUCGAGGAAUCUGACAGAGGAUCAUAGAGGAAUCACAUGGGAAGGUGAGCGAGAGAGGGUGAGAGCCCCGUACUCGAAAUGAGAGACUGGAGAGAGAUGACACCUGAGUAGGGCGGGACACGAGAAAUCCUGUCUGAAUCAGCCGGGACCAUCCGGCAAGGCUAAAUACGAGAGAGUGACCGAUAGUGAACCAGUACCGUGAGGGAAAGGUGAAAAGAACCCCGGGAGGGGAGUGAAAGAGAACCUGAAACCAUAUGCCUACAAGAAGUCAGAGCCCGUUAAAGGGUGAUGGCGUGCCUUUUGUAGAAUGAACCGGCGAGUUACUGUAUGGAGCGAGGUUAAGCAGGAUAUGCGGAGCCGAAGCGAAAGCGAGUCUUAAGAGGGCGCGAGUUGCAUGCAGUAGACCCGAAACCGGGUGAUCUAGCCAUGACCAGGUUGAAGUUGGGGUAAAACCCGAUGGAGGACCGAACCGACCCCCGUUGAAACGUUGGCGGAUGAGUUGUGGCUAGGGGUGAAAUUCCAAUCGAACCCGGAGAUAGCUGGUUCUCCCCGAAAUAGCUUUAGGGCUAGCGUCGAGAGAAGAGUUGCGUGAAGGUAGAGCACUGAAUAUGUGAUGGCCCCAUCUCGGGGUACUGAGCAUAAUCAAACUGCGAAUGUCACGCCAACAUGCUCGGCAGUCAGACAGCGGGUGAUAAGGUCCGUUGUCAAGAGGGAAACAGCCCAGACCAUCAGCUAAGGUCCCAAAAUGUAUGCUAAGUGGAAAAGGAUGUGGAGAUGUACAGACAACUAGGAGGUUGGCUCAGAAGCAGCCAUCCUUUAAAGAGUGCGUAACAGCUCACUAGUCGAAUGACUCUGCGCCGAUAAUUUACCGGGGCUAAGCAUACUACCGAAGCUAUGGAUCCCAAGGGAUGGUAGGGGAGCGUUCCAUGAACGGAGAAGUACGACCGAAAGGACGUGUGGAGAUCAUGGAAGAGAGAAUGCCGGUGUGAGUAGCGGAACGUGGGUGAGAAUCCCACGCACCGAAAACCCAAGGUUUCCAGAGGAAGGUUCGUCCGCUCUGGGUAAGUCGGGACCUAAGGCGAGGCCGAAAGGCGUAGUCGAUGGACAACAGGUAGAGAUUCCUGUACCCGUAUAUAUGUGAAGGAAUGACGGAGAGAGGAAGCUGCAGCCAGCGGCUGGAAGAGCUGGUGCAAGCGAGAUAUCGGGAUGGCAGGCAAAUCCACCAUCCGAAACGAGAAGGCGUGAAGCGUACGGAAAGCUACGGCGAGUACGGAAGGCAGUGGAGGAACUUCCAAGAAAAGUUUCUAACGUUAAGUAUAUAUGGCCCGUACCGAAAAUGGACACACAUGGGUGAGGAGAGAAUCCUAAGGUGAGCGAGAGAACUAUAGCUAAGGAACUCUGCAAAAUGACUCCGUAACUUAGGGAGAAGGAGUGCUCAUAGAGAUAUGAGCCGCAGUGAAACGGCCCAAGCGACUGUUUACCAAAAACACAGCUCUCUGCUAAGCCGCAAGGCGAAGUAUAGGGGGUGACGCCUGCCCGGUGCUGGAAGGUUAAGGGGAGGGGUUAACGCAAGUGAAGCCCUGAACUGAAGCCCCAGUAAACGGCGGCCGUAACUAUAACGGUCCUAAGGUAGCGAAAUUCCUUGUCAGGUAAGUUCUGACCC
RNAcentral lists this ribosomal RNA (1964 nucleotides) under human gut metagenome. RNAcentral's name for it is "bacterial LSU rRNA". It matches the Rfam family "Bacterial large subunit ribosomal RNA", at positions 1 to 1989 of the family's 2925-position model. The record is from RNAcentral.